GCAUAUCAAUAAGCGCAGGAAAAGAAACCAACAGGGAUUGCCUCAGUAACGGCGAGUGAAGCGGCAACAGCUCAAAUUUGAAAUCUGGCCUCUCGGGGUCCGAGUUGUAAUUUGUAGAGGAUGUUUUGGGUACCGCCCCGGUUUAAAUUUCUUGGAACAGAAUGUCAGAGAGGGUGAGAAUCCCGUCUUGGACCGGCGGUAGGGCCUGUGUAAAACUCCUUCGACGAGUCGAGUUGUUUGGGAAUGCAGCUCAAAAUGGGUGGUAAAUUUCAUCUAAAGCUAAAUAUUGGCCAGAGACCGAUAGCGCACAAGUAGAGUGAUCGAAAGAUGAAAAGAACUUUGAAAAGAGAGUUAAACAGUAUGUGAAAUUGUUGAAAGGGAAGCGCUUGCAACCAGACUUGAGCGCGACGGUUCCCCUAGCCUUUUGGCUAGGUUACUCCGUCGUGUCCAGGCCAACAUCGGUUCUGAGGGUCGGUCAAAGGCCCCGGGAAUGUACCUACCCACGGGUAGACUUAUAGACCGGGGUGUCAUGCGGCCUCUCGGGACCGAGGAACGCGCUUCGGCUCGGAUGUUGGCGUAAUGGUUGUCAGCGACCCGUCUUGAAACACGGACC
Molecule: ribosomal RNA, 613 nt
Filed under: Phialophora chinensis
Lineage: Eukaryota; Fungi; Ascomycota; Eurotiomycetes; Chaetothyriales; Herpotrichiellaceae
Description: partial large subunit ribosomal RNA
Rfam family: Eukaryotic large subunit ribosomal RNA
Source: RNAcentral